Telopea speciosissima is the source of this 277-nucleotide long non-coding RNA. RefSeq lists it as uncharacterized. The transcript has 3 exons. The record is from RefSeq and is a predicted model, not a curated record. Lineage: Eukaryota; Viridiplantae; Streptophyta; Magnoliopsida; Proteales; Proteaceae.
UAGUAAAGCCAAGUGACUCUAGAAUAGUUAUCAACAAAAGUAACAAAAUAUUUGCACCCAAUUUAUACACAACAGGACAAGGACCCACACAUCCAAAUGAUCUAGUGCAAAAGGUUGCGCAGACCGUUUAUUGACUUGAGGGGAAUAACUCACACGGUGGUGCUUCCCAAACUGAUACGACUCACAUUCUAAACUAGAAAGAGAACUAAAACGAGAAUCAAGCUUCUUUAAACUCUGUAAAGACGGGUGACCCAAAUGGCACCAUGAAAAAUAAUAA